This 2818-nucleotide long non-coding RNA is filed under the name Sus scrofa (pig). RNAcentral describes it as "lncRNA (ENSSSCG00045022310.1)". The record is from RNAcentral. Lineage: Eukaryota; Metazoa; Chordata; Mammalia; Artiodactyla; Suidae.
CUCUGUUGAGGUACCAAUAUUUUACAUCCUUAAAAAAAUAUAGCAUUUACUGGUGUUUCCGUUUUGGCUCAGCAGGUUAAGAACCCAACUCGUAUUCAUGAGGAUGUGGGUUUGAUCCCUGGCCUCACUCAGUAGGUUAAGUAUCCGGUUGCCCAUAAGCUGUGGCAUUCAGUCGCAGAGGUGGCUCAGACUCAGCGUUGCUGUGGCUGUGAUGUCGGCCAACAGCUACAUCUUUGAUUUGACCCCUAGCCUGGGGGCUCCCAAAUGCAGCAGCUAUGGCCCUAAAAGAAAAAAUGUAUAUAUAGUAUUUACUUAUGUGUAGAGAAUGCUUCACAAAUAGUAGGGGCUCAACCAGUGUUAACCAAAGAAACAUACAUUUGCUUUGAUUAAAAUCUGAUUUAAAGGGACCAUAGUACUUUGAUCUCAACAUUGGUGAUUCAGAUUUGUUAAAUUAAAAUUUGCUUUUUUUUUUUUCCCACUUAGGCUUCAUGAAGAUGGAGAUAUGGGAAAAAACAGUGAGCUGGCACCUCACUCACUUGUAAUGAUUCAAACAGAGAAUGUCAGAGGAAAAGAAAUACUGUUUCCACUCUCACUUGUAAGUGAAGAUACUAUUUCCAUGAAGGAACAAUUACGUGCGUGGAUAAACUAACACACAAGGCUUCUACGACAGUGUCAUAUAAACUGGAAAAUCAUUAUAACUAGAAAAAUUUCUUCAACAGAAGUGGUAAUAUUUCUAACUUUUUUUUCUCCUUUCUUUCAAAGUCCGCUGCCACACACAAUCUCUGAAAAAGAAAGACAAAACUCUUUCCCUUUAACACUGACAGGAAUAACAAAUAUUGCAUCUCUUCCUUGUCCUUUGACUUGUGUGACUUGUGCCCUCGUGUGUGACCACAAGGUGCCCUUUCUGUUGACAGUUACAAGCAAAGUAUAGAUGCCCUGUCGGACCGUAUGCACAGUUCAAAUAAGCCAGGAUGUUCAGUGUGAUUUGGGCAACAUAAGUGCAGCUGUAUAAAGCCCAGUGUAGCCAUCCUGCUGGUCACCUGGACAAAACAGACAAAAGGAAAGAGACUGAGCAUUCCUAAAUUUUCUACCAUAUUUCAUUCAUAAAUGAAAUGAAUUAUGUAAAAUGAAUUAGACUUCCUAACUAACUUCACUUUGUAUAUCAUUUCUUAGGAAUGUCUAAUAGACAGAGACAAAAAACAAACAAACAAACAAAAAAAACGUCUUAUUAGAUUGUUAAACCCAAUUUUCAGGGUCUAUAAGCUGUCGUUAGUCUUUUUUUUUUUUUUUCCAAGAACGAUAUUAGGCGUUAUUUUCUAUCCUAAUUUGGUAUUGAUGUUAAAAGUGUGUCUGACUGGCAUCUGUUACCACAGGUGUCAAUGGGUGGAAAUGCUGAUUCUUUAGCUUACCUUUGAUAUUCAUUAUUCCGGGACAAGUGGGAACCAAAUACUUCUGUAAUGCUCAGUGUCUACCCCGGACUGUUGCUCUCUAAAUGUAACCUCAAGAUAGAAUUAAGGCGGUAUAUUUUCUGAAUCGUUGGAGAAUCAUUCGGUCUUAACUUGAAAGCCCAAGAGUAAAGAAUGCCUGCUUACCUGCCAACAAGAGAAAGGAAAACAACUAACAGGAAGAAGAGGUAAAGGACCCGAACAAAGCUUUGUUAACCUUUAGUCUUUACAUUAGUGAUUUCUUCAGUUAGUUGGAUAACUAGGUGCCUGAAAAAGUAGUCCUGUAUAACUGCAGAUACAGAGCAGAAAUUCUUGUUCCCAUUAUUAAAUGGGAGUGAGAUGAAAGUUUAAUACUGGUACAAUGUAAUGCAUCAGGUAAAGUCUAUUCGAAGGGCUAAACUCCACACUGCAAGUAGAUGAACAGACAUUGUGUCGUAAGCAUAUUUCCAUUGCAUUGUAGAGUUUUUAUUAAUUUUUAUGACUGAAUGUAUUCUAUUACUAUUCUAUUUAACUAUUCAUACUGUUAAACUUUUAGAUUAUUUCUGAACUUUGGCUUUUAUAGACAGCAGUCUUAUUUAAACAGUAGAAAUGUGAGGAUUGCCUCAAAGUCCAACAAUAAAGAAAUGAGGAAAUAAACCACUGUGGGGAUGUACAAUAGAGGAUUAUACAUUAAAAUGAUUCUUGCCAACAAAUUUUAAUGAUUUAAAAAUGAAAAGGUAAGGCAAAAACUGAAUUACACGCACACAUUUAUAUAUUAAGAGCUCAAUCACAUACAAUUUUGUAUACAUCAUGAAAAUAUCAAGGAUAUUUUACCAAACAUUUAUAUGUGAUUAAUUUUGUAUGUGGAGUUAUGGAUGGUCACUAAUGAGUUUUCUUUUUAUUCUUUACUUUUUUAAAGUUUUCUCUAAAAUAUCUUAUUUUAGAAUCACGAAUAUCUAAACGCCUAAAGUCUCAAGCAAUCUGAUUUUUAAUCAAAAAAUAAACAAUUUAGGGAGUUCCCAUUGUGGCGCAGUGGUUAACAAAUCCCACUAGGAAUCAUGAGGUUGUGGGUUUGAUCCCUGCCCUUGCUCAAUGGGUUAAGGAUCCGAUGUUGCCGUGAGCUGUGGUGUAGGUUGCAGACGUGGCUUGGAUCCCGCGUUGCUGUGGCUCUGGCGUAGGCUGGUGGCUACAGCUCUGAUUAGACCCCUAGCCUGGGAAGCUCCAUAUGCCGCGGGGGCGGCCCAAGAAAUAGCAAAAAGACAAAAAUAAAUAAAUAAGUAAAUAAAUAAACAAUUUAUAGCUUUGAAAGAUAUUUCCACUUUUUCUCUGGACGACCUUUAUCAACUUAAACAGGCACCAAGAAUAUCAAUAAUGCUAACAUUGAGUCAAAAUAA